This 411-nucleotide ribosomal RNA is filed under the name uncultured bacterium. Its description in RNAcentral is "bacterial SSU rRNA". It matches the Rfam family "Bacterial small subunit ribosomal RNA", at positions 370 to 772 of the family's 1533-position model. The record is from RNAcentral.
AAUGGGGGAAACCCUGACGGAGCGACGCCGCGUGGACGAUGAAGGCCGUAAGGUUGUAAAGUCCUUUUGCAGGAGAAGAAUAACCCGUGGAGUGGAAAGCCAUGGGGAUGACGUUAUCCUGCGAAUAAGCCCCGGCCAAUUACGUGCCAGCAGCCGCGGCAAUACGUAUGGGGCGAGCGUUGUUCGGAGUUAUUGGGCGUAAAGGGCGUGUAGGCGGCCCGAGAAGUCUGGUGUGAAAUCGCAGGGCCUAACCCUGCGGGUGCGCUGGAAACUGUCGGGCUGGAGUCCCGGGGGGGAAGCUGGAAUUCCUGGUGUAGGAGUGAAAUCUGUAGAGAUCAGGAAGAACACCGGUGGCGAAGGCGAGCUUCUAUUCGAGGACUGACGCUGAGGCGCGAAAGCGUGGGGAGCAAA